Non-coding RNA from Paramuricea clavata, 1392 nucleotides. The record is from the annotation of a GenBank genome assembly. NCBI's taxonomy places the organism in Eukaryota, Metazoa, Cnidaria, Anthozoa, Malacalcyonacea, Plexauridae.
ACCUGAUUUACUAAUUGUUUGCCCCUUUUGCUAAACAAACAAGCCUAUUUUAUCAUUGGACAAGCCUUAAAUUCAUGAAAUCGGACGGUUUGAAAUAUGUGAUAAUUUCAGACAAUCCUGGCAAAAAUUAUUGUGGACACCGCGUGCGUCAAACAAAAAUAGAUGUAUCUCUACAGAAUUAAUCCCCAGAAAAUUUCUCCCCCUCCUACCCCCAAUUCAAUGUUGGUAAAUGAAACUUUAAAAUUUAAAUGCGAGAAACAACAUUGAAUACGGGGGGCAGGGGGCGACAAGUUUCAUGAAAGAACGUCUCAAUGUUAAUAUUGGCGUUAGAAAAGUUAGGUGUCCACAUAAUUUUUGCCAGGAUUGUAGGCGACAAAGGUGAGGUUUCAAAUUUUAUUAUGAAAGGCAAGUGAAUUAUUGGCGUAGUGCCGUAGCUGCGCAAGUUUAAAAGGUGAGGGUUCAAAGGUUGCGUUGCUUCCGUGGUUUUACGUGUCUAUAAUUAAUAGACUUGUACGUUGUUACUAUCAUCUGUUGUUGGUGAAGGAGUCAAUCCGUCAAAUAACAAAAAGGUUAAACAGUAACACAAGAUUAAAAACUCCGUCUAUCAAGAUUCUAUCAAGUAUCAACGACAUGAUUUUUCAGACACAUUAAUCGAAAGACUUGGUUCACACAUCAGUCAGACAAAAACAAAUAUAAAAAAUCGAGCAAAGCUUAACACACAACGGUCACAUUAUAAAACGUUUGUAACAAGGGACUCAUAGUCAUUGUUCCAUUAUAUUGAAAAGCGCCGUUCCUUCAGCCGGAUAGACGCACAAGGAUCAAGUUACACGUGGUUACUGUUUCAUUUUUAAAGUUCGUCCAAUUUUAUCAAUCUUCUAAGCGUUUUGAAAGAAAGCCAGAAAGUAGUAAUAACAUUUUGUCGUAUUAAUAUUUGUAAAUUGCCAUAAGGCAUGAUAAUUUUUAAUAACAGCUAGUUAGUACACCAUAAUCAGCCGGGGGCAGUUUUAGUGUAAACUAUUUCUAGUUUAAAGAUUUUCACGCGCGAGCUUUCAAAGCCUUUCCAAGCUAUGAGUAGUAUGAGACUACAUAAAAGAAACAAAUACCGCGCAUAUUUGGGCUGCCUAUGGUAAACGUAGUUGUAGAGUGCCAGUGAGGUACGAAUUAUCGCACCCUGGAUGGAAAGAUAAAAAUAACAAAGAAAAUAAAAACAAUGAUAUGGUGAACGAUAACAGCUUAAAGUCCCGUACAAAAGAACAUUUGUUUUCCACGUUCAAAACCAAAGCUUAGGCACUACCAGCUUUUAUGAAUUAUAUUCAAUAAAAAUGUUGCAAAAAAUUCCGAUAAAAACACACACGGUACUUACAAAGUGUUCACAGAAAUAUAUGGUCUUGU